Molecule: ribosomal RNA, 253 nt
Filed under: uncultured bacterium
Lineage: Bacteria
Description: partial 16S ribosomal RNA
Rfam family: Bacterial small subunit ribosomal RNA
Source: RNAcentral
UACGUAGGGGCCUAGCGUUGUCCGGAUUUAUUGGGCGUAAAGAGCUCGUAGGCGGUUUGUCACGUCUGCUGUGAAAUCCCGAGGCUCAACCUCGGGCCUGCAGUGGGUACGGGCAGACUGGAGUGCGGUAGGGGAGAAUGGAAUUCCUGGUGUAGCGGUGGAAUGCGCAGAUAUCAGGAGGAACACCGAUAGCGAAGGCAGCUCGCUGGGACGGUACUGACGCUGAGGCGCGAAAGCGUGGGGAGCGAACAGG